AUACGUAGGGGGCGAGCGUUGUCCGGAAUUACUGGGUGUAAAGGGUGCGUAGGCGGCCUGGCAAGUCGUAUGUGAAAGUUGCCGGCUUAACCGGCGGAGUGCAUACGAAACUGUUGGGCUUGAGUGCAGGAGAGGCAAGCGGAAUUCCUAGUGUAGCGGUGAAAUGCAUAGAUAUUAGGAGGAACACCAGUGGCGAAGGCGGCUUGCUGGACUGUAACUGACGCUGAGGCACGAGAGCGUGGGGAGCAAACAGGAUUAGAUACCCUGGUAGUCCACGCUGUAAACGAUGGAUACUAGGUGUAGGGGGUGUAACUACCUUCUGUGCCGGAGCGAACGCAAUAAGUAUCCCGCCUGGGGAGUACGGCCGCAAGGUUGAA
RNAcentral lists this ribosomal RNA (377 nucleotides) under uncultured bacterium. RNAcentral describes it as "bacterial SSU rRNA". It matches the Rfam family "Bacterial small subunit ribosomal RNA", at positions 523 to 898 of the family's 1533-position model. The record is from RNAcentral.